AAUUUCUGAAUGUUGACCUCGGAUCAGGUAGGAAUACCCGCUGAACUUAAGCAUAU
RNAcentral lists this ribosomal RNA (56 nucleotides) under Fusarium sp. ZX-2014a. Its description in RNAcentral is "partial 28S ribosomal RNA". The record is from RNAcentral. Lineage: Eukaryota; Fungi; Ascomycota; Sordariomycetes; Hypocreales; Nectriaceae.